AAUGUCAGUUUUGUGUCAGGCUGGCCAGAGCUGGUUCUGUAGGAUACAGAUUUCACUCUAAGAUAGCACUAUGAAUGCUUCACCUUCAUUCCUUCACCUGCAGUAUGAAGGCAAUUACUAUGUCUGGAGCAAACACAGGCUGCCAAAAAUGACAGCUGAUAAAAACUACCCCUGUUAGAGAAAACCACUUUGCAAAUUCUGCUCUUUGGAGUAUUAAAACCUGUCACUCUUCAGGGACCACUGCUGCACAGCAACUUUAAACUACCUGACAAAGAAUCUUUGACAAGCACAGUGUUUGGGAAUGGCUUGAAGAACGACACCUUGUGUGACGCAGCUGAAUAUUUCUGGGUGUGAUUAUGGGAAUUGGGUCUUAAUUUUGAUGUGAGCAUCAAAAAUAACAGUCACUGCCAAAAAUAGCAGUUUUCCUACCUGGCUUCUCGUGUUAUGUGCAGGUGAUUACCUUUACUAUACCAAUAAAUCAUUUGUCACCAAAGAAAUUGUGACUUAACAAUAAAGGAUUACUUGACACCUCUGA
Pogoniulus pusillus (Red-fronted tinkerbird) is the source of this 535-nucleotide long non-coding RNA. RefSeq lists it as uncharacterized. The transcript is spliced from 2 exons. The record is from RefSeq and is a predicted model, not a curated record. Lineage: Eukaryota; Metazoa; Chordata; Aves; Piciformes; Lybiidae.